ACACCUACGGGAGGCUGCAGUCUAGAAAUUUGGGCAAUGGGCGAAAGCCUGACCCAGCGACGCCGCGUGGGGGAUGAAGCUUCUCGGAGUGUAAACCCCUGUUAGGUGGGACGAAAGCCCGUAUACGAAUAGUAGGCGGGUUUGACGGUACCACCAGAGGAAGCUCCGGCUAACUCCGUGCCAGCAGCCGCGGUAAUACGGGGGGAGCAAGCGUUGUUCGGAGUUAUUGGGCGUAAAGGGCGUACAGGCGGUGGUGUAAGUCAGAUGUGAAAUCCCCCGGCUCAACCGGGGACCUGCAUUUGAUACUGCAUCACUUGAGUACAGGAGAGGAGAGCGGAAUUUUCGGUGUAGCGGUGGAAUGUGUAGAUAUCGAAAAGAACACCAGUGGCGAAGGCGGCUCCCUGGCCUGAUACUGACGCUGACGCGCGAAAGCUAGGGGAGCAAACAGGAUUAGAUACCCUGGUAGUCCUAGCCGUAAACGUUGGGCACUAGGUGUUGGAGGUAUCGACCCCUUCAGUGCCGAAGCUAACGCAUUAAGUGCCCCGCCUGGGGAGUACGGCCGCAAGGCUGAAACUCAAAGGAAUUGACGGGGGCCUGCACAAGCGGUGGAGCAUGUGGUUUAAUUCGAGGCAACGCGAAGAACCUUACCUGGUCUUGACAUGUACCUGAAAGCCCUGGAGACAGGGCCCCUCUUCGGAGCGGGUACACAGGUGCUGCAUGGCUGUCGUCAGCUCGUGUCGUGAGAU
This 746-nucleotide ribosomal RNA is filed under the name uncultured endophytic bacterium. RNAcentral describes it as "bacterial SSU rRNA". It matches the Rfam family "Bacterial small subunit ribosomal RNA", at positions 335 to 1073 of the family's 1533-position model. The record is from RNAcentral.